UGCAUGCAUGGUUGUGUUCACACAG
RNAcentral lists this non-coding RNA (25 nucleotides) under Mus musculus (house mouse). Lineage: Eukaryota; Metazoa; Chordata; Mammalia; Rodentia; Muridae. The record is from RNAcentral.